GGGGAUGUAGCUCAGUGUAAAAACAUGUGCUUAGCAUGCACAAGGCCCUGGGUUUAAUCCCCAGUACCUCCA
This 72-nucleotide transfer RNA is filed under the name Camelus bactrianus (Bactrian camel). It matches the Rfam family "tRNA". Rfam says of the family: Transfer RNA (tRNA) molecules are approximately 80 nucleotides in length. Their secondary structure includes four short double-helical elements and three loops (D, anti-codon, and T loops). The record is from Rfam by way of RNAcentral. Lineage: Eukaryota; Metazoa; Chordata; Mammalia; Artiodactyla; Camelidae. RNAcentral also lists the same sequence under 2 other names.